This 600-nucleotide ribosomal RNA is filed under the name Triticum aestivum (bread wheat). RNAcentral describes it as "partial small subunit ribosomal RNA". The record is from RNAcentral. Lineage: Eukaryota; Viridiplantae; Streptophyta; Magnoliopsida; Poales; Poaceae.
AUGGGCGGUAGACUCACUCUACUUGACUCGGUGCUUACUCAGCUAUCCAUCUUUCACAUGUCUAUGUGGCUCAUGAAUAAAACUUUCAUUGAAAAGCUGGAUAAGCAUAGACGUAGAUUUUUCUGGCAAGGGUGUAAUAAAAAGCGUAGAUAUCAUCUUGUCAGGUGGAAUAGGAUCUGUAGAUCCAGAGACAAAGGGGGGCUGGGGGUUAAAGACCUCAGAAAGCAAAAUAUUAGUCUAAUGGUCAAAUGGUGGUGGAAGCUGGAGACCCAAAACGGGUUGUGGCAGGAUAUUGUGCGUGCUAGAUAUCUUAGAAACAAAACUGUUACUGAGGUGGGUGCGAGGUUUUCUGAUUCACCAUGCUGGAAAGCUCUUCUGAAGGUAAAGGAAGUUUACCUGGUGGGGAGGAAGAUUAACAUCGAAUCUGGUAAUAUUGCCUGGGUGUGGAUGGAUCCUAUCAAAGGGCUGCCCCCCUUUAGGGAGCAAUUCCCACAACUCUUCUCUAUUUGCACUGCUCCUGAAUGCACGGUGAGUAGGGUGCGGCUAGUGGAUACUAACACUUUCUUCAGACGGGGGCUUAGUGCCGAACUGUCUAAGCAA